AAGUCAUAACAAGGUAACCAUAGGUGAACCUACGGUUGGAUCAUUAAAAAAUGGCCCCUUUGUUUUGUUGCUCCGGGGGUUCAUCCCGUGGCAUCAACAACACACCAACCUUGUGAACCGUUCCGAGUCUCUGGCAGUUGGAAGGGGAAGCUUCGUUUCUUCCCCUUCCCUGAACCACUUCCCAUCCUUCUUUGAUGGGCACAUGGAACGAAGCCAUCAAAAAAAGGAUUUGCACAAGAACUUGUGGGUUAGAAUUUAUUUCUUUGUUUUUUGAGAGGCUGACACUAGCUUUGUACCAUAACAAUGCAAACAACUUUUGGCAACGGAUCUCUUGGCUCUC
This 340-nucleotide unclassified non-coding RNA is filed under the name fungal sp. RNAcentral's name for it is "partial internal transcribed spacer region". The record is from RNAcentral. Lineage: Eukaryota; Fungi.